This 232-nucleotide ribosomal RNA is filed under the name uncultured bacterium. RNAcentral's name for it is "partial 16S ribosomal RNA". It matches the Rfam family "Bacterial small subunit ribosomal RNA", at positions 99 to 334 of the family's 1533-position model. The record is from RNAcentral.
CGGACGGGUGAGUAAUGCUUGGGAAUCUAGCUUAUGGAGGGGGAUAACUACGGGAAACUGUAGCUAAUACCGCGUAAUAUCGAAAGAUUAAAGUGUGGGACCUUCGGGCCACAUGCCAUAGGAUGAGCCCAAGUGGGAUUAGGUAGUUGGUGAGGUAAAGGCUCACCAAGCCGACGAUCUCUAGCUGGUCUGAGAGGAUGACCAGCCACACUGGGACUGAGACGCGGCCCAG